This 5278-nucleotide long non-coding RNA is filed under the name Lathyrus oleraceus (garden pea). RNAcentral's name for it is "Pisum sativum (pea) long non-coding RNA (PSAT_LNC040108)". Lineage: Eukaryota; Viridiplantae; Streptophyta; Magnoliopsida; Fabales; Fabaceae. The record is from RNAcentral.
GAAAAUGAAAAAGAAAAAAAGAAAAAAGAAUAAUUACAAGAAAAUGAAAAAGAAAAAAAGAAAAUAGAAUAAUUACAAGACAAUGAAAAUGAGACCGUAUGUAUUAAAGGAAACUAACCCAAUCAUUUAUCUAGUGUUACAUUAGCACCAACUUUAUUAUUGUGAGAUCCUCAUAAUCCUAACAAACAUCUUAAUCUCAUCAAAACAAUAUGAAAAACCCUAUCAUAAUCCUUGGUGAUGCAAGUAUAAAAUUGAAAAUAAGAGGAAACACAGAUGAAUAGAGUGACAAAAUAAACAAGUUAGAGAUGUGUAACCUUCAAAAGACUAACCUAUAUCAGAAAUCAAUUGUUUCGUACAUUUGAUAGAUAAGAAAGAAAAUUACUCAUAAAAGAUAGAAAAAAAAGGAAAAAAUGACAAUUUUUCUGCAGUACGUAUUUUUUUACCCUUUGUAUUUUGUUUAUACAAUCAUAGAGUGAUUAUGAACCAGAGAUUUCUAUUAAAUAUUUUAAGCUAAAUGAUUAUAUUAAGUAAAUCCUCAGUUAUAUAAAUCAAUCAAACAUUUAUUGAGUAACAAACCUAGACAUUAAUUAGUCUAUAAAGAUAUGUAUUGAACAUCAAAAUUAAUUAAAUAUAUACUUAUAUGCUAAAGAACAUAAAAUGUCAUCUUCUAUAUUCUGAUAAUUAAACGAUUAACAUAAGUUAUAUAGAUUAAAAUAUAUGCUAAAAUACUAAUUAUAAGUAGAAAAUGAAAAAGAAAAAAAGAAAAAAGAGUAAUUACAAGAAAAUGAAAAAGAAAAAAAGAAAAUAGAAUAAUUACAAGACAAUGAAAAUGAGACCAUAUGUAUUAAAGGAAACAAACCCAAUCAUUUUUCUAGUGUUAAAUUAGCACCAACUUUAUUAUUGUGAGAUCCUCAUAAUCCUAACAAACAUCUCAAUCUCAUCAAAACAAUACGAAAAACCCUAUCAUAAUCAUUGGUGAUGCAAGAAUAAAAUUGAAAAUAAGAGGAAACACAGAUGAAUAGAGUGACAAAAUAAACAAGUUAGAGAAAGGUAACCUUCAAAAGAUUAACCUAUAUCAGAAAUCAAUUGUUCUGUACAUUUGAUAGAUAAGAUAGAAAAUUACUCAUAAAAGAUAGAAAAAAAAAGGAAAAUAUGACAAUUUUUCAGCAGUACGUAUUUUUUUACCCUUUGUAUUUUUUUUAUACAAUCAUAAAGUGAUUAUGAACCAGAGAUUUCUAUUAAAUAUUGUAAGCUAAAUAUUUAUAUUAAGUAAAUCCUCAAUUAUAUAAAUCAAUCAAAAAUUUAGUGAGUAACAAACCUUGAAAUUAAUUAAUUUAGAAUGAUAUGUAUUGAACAUCAAAAUUAAUUAAAUAUAUACUUAUAUCCUAAAGAACAUAAAAUGUCAUCUUUUAUAUUCUGAUAAUUAAACGAUUAACAUAAGUUAUAUAGAUUAAAAAAUAUGCUAAAAUACUAAUUAUAAGUAGAAAAAGAAAAAGAAAAAAAGAAAAAAGAAUAAUUACAAGAAAAUGAAAAAGAAAAAAAGAAAAAUGAAUAAUUACAAGACAAUGAAAAUGAGACCGUAUAUAUUAAAGGAAACCAACCCAAUCAUUUAUCUAGUGUUACAUUAGCACUAACUUUAUUAUUGUGAGAUCCUCAUAAUCCUAACAAACAUCUUAAUCUCAUCAAAACAAUAUGAAAAACCCUAUCAUAAUCAAUGGUGAUGCAAGAAUAAAAUUGAAAAUAAGAGGAAACACAGAUGAAUAGAGUGACAAAAUAAACAAGUUAGAGAUGUGUAACCUUCAAAAGAUUAACCUAUAUCAGAAAUCAAUUGUUCCGUACAUUUGAUAGAUAAGAAAGAAAAUUACUCAUAAAAGAUAGAAAAAAAAGGAAAAUAUGACAAUUUUUCAGCAGUACGUAUUUUUGUACCCUUUGUAUUUUGUUUAUACAAUCAUAAAGUGAAUAUGAACCAGAGAUUUCUAUUAAAUAUUGUAUGCAAAAUAAUUAAAUUAAGUAAAUCCUCAAAUAUAUAAAUAAAUCAAACAUUUAUUGAGUAACAAACCUUGACAUUAGUUAGUUUAGAAAGAUAUGUAUUGAAAAUCAAAAUUAAAUAAAUAUAUACUUAUAUCCUAAAGAACAUAAAAUGUCAUCUUUUAUUUUUUGAUAAUUAAACGAUUAACAUAAGUUAUAUUGAUUAAAAAAUAUGCUAAAAUACUAAGUAUAAGUAGAAAAUGAAAAAGAAAAAAAAAGAAAAAAGAAUAAUUAUAAGAAAAUGAAAAAGAAAAAAAUAAAAUAGAAUAAUUACAAGACAAUGAAAAUGAGACCGUAUGUAUUAAAGGAAACCAAUCCAAUCAUUUUUCUAGUGUUACAUUGGCACCAACUUUAUUAUUGUGAGAUCCUCAUAAUCCUAACAAACAUCUCAAUCUCAUCAAAACAAUACGAAAAACCCUAUCAUAAUCAUUGGUGAUGCAAGAAUAAAAUUGAAAAUAAGAGGAAACACAGAUGAAUAGAGUGACAAAAUAAACAAGUUAGAGAUGUGUAACCUUCAAAAGAUCAACCUAUAUCAGAAAUCACUUGAUCUGUACAUUUGAUAGAUAAGAAAGAAAAUUACUCAUAAAAGAUAGAAAAAAAAGGAAAAUAUGACAAUUUUUCAGCAGUACGUAUUUUUUUACCCUUUGUAUUUUGUUUAUACAAUCAUAAAGUGAUUAUGAACCAGAGAUUUCUAUUAAAUAAUGUAAGCUAAAUAUUUAUAUUAAGUACAUCCUCAAUUAUAUAAAUCAAUCAAACAUGUAAUGAGUAACAAACCUUGACAUUAAUUAGUUUAGAAAGAUAUGUAUUGAACAUCAAAAUUAAUUAAAUAUAUACUUAUAUCCUAAAGAACAUAAAAUGUCAUCUUCUAUAUUCUGAUAAUUAAACAAUUAACAUAAGUUAUAUAGAUUAAAAAAUAUGCUAAAAUACUAAUUAUAAGUAGAAAAUGAAAAAGAAAAAAAGAAAAAAGAAUAAUUACAAGAAAAUGAAAAAGAAAAAAAGAAAAUAGAAUAAUUACAAGAAAAUGAAAAUGAGACCGUAUGUUAUAAAGGAAACCAACUCAAUCAUUUUUCCAGUGUUACAUUAGCACCACCUUUAUUAUUGUGAGAUCCUCAUAAUCCUAACAAACAUCUCAAUCUCAUCAAAACAAUACGAAAAACCCUAUCAUAAUCAUUGGUGAUGCAAGAAUAAAAUUGAAAAUAAGAGGAAACACAGAUGAAUAGAGUGACAAAAUAAACAAGUUAGAGAUGUGUAACCUUCAAAAGAUCAACCUAUAUCAGAAAUCACUUGAUCUGUACAUUUGAUAGAUAAGAAAGAAAAUUACUCAUAAAAGAUAGAAAAAAAAGGAAAAUAUGACAAUUUUUCAGCAGUACGUAUUUUUUUACCCUUUGUAUUUUGUUUAUACAAUCAUAAAGUGAUUAUGAACCAGAGAUUUCUAUUAAAUAAUGUAAGCUAAAUAUUUAUAUUAAGUACAUCCUCAAUUAUAUAAAUCAAUCAAACAUGUAAUGAGUAACAAACCUUGACAUUAAUUAGUUUAGAAAGAUAUGUAUUGAACAUCAAAAUUAAUUAAAUAUAUACUUAUAUCCUAAAGAACAUAAAAUGUCAUCUUCUAUAUUCUGAUAAUUAAACAAUUAACAUAAGUUAUACAGAUUAAAAAAUAUGCUAAAAUACUAAUUAUAAGUAGAAAAUGAAAAAGAAAAAAAGAAAAUAGAAUAAGUACAAGAAAAAAAAAAUAAAAAAAAAAAAUAGAAAAAUAACAACUUUAUUAUUGUGUGAUCCUCAUAAUCCUAACAAACAUCUCAAUCUCAUCAAACCAAUACGAAAAACACUAUCAUAAUCAUUAGUGAUGCAAGGAUAAAAUGGAAAAUAAGAGGAAACACAGAUGAAUAGAGUGACAAAAUAAGCAAGUUAGAGAUGUGUAACCUUCAAAAGAUUAACCUAUAUAUCAGAAAUGAAUUGUUCUGUACAUUUGAAAGAUAAGAUAGAAAAUUACUCAUAAAAGAUAGAAAAAAAGGAAAAUAUGACAAUUUUUCAGCAGUACGUAUUUUUUUACCCUUUGUUUUUUGCCUAUACAAUCAUAAAGUGAUUAUGUACCAGAGAUUUCUAUUAAAUAUUGCAAGCUAAAUACUUAUAUUAAGUAAAUCCUCAAUUAUAUAAAUCAUUCAAACAUUUAAUGAGUAACAAAGCUUGACAUUAAUUAAUUUAGAAAGAUAUGUAUUGAACAUCAAAAUUAAAUAAAUAUAUACUUAUAUCCUAAAGAACAUAAAAUGUCAUCUUCUAUAUUCUGAUAAUUAAACGAUUAACAUAAGUUAUAUAUAUAUUAAAGGAAACCAACUCAAUCAUUUUUCCAGUGUUACAUUAGCACCACCUGUAUUAUUGUGAGAUCCUCAUAAUCCUAACAAACAUAUCAAUCUCAUCAAAACAAUAUGAAAACCCUAUCAUUAUCAUUGGUGACGCAAGAACAAAAUUGAAAAUAAGAGAAAACACAGAUGAAUAGGGUGACAAAAUAAAAAAGGUAGAGAUGUGUAACCUUCAGAAGAUCAACCUAUCUCAGAAAUCACUUGAUUUGUUCAACCUAUUUCAGCAGUACGUAUUUUUUAACCCUUUGUAUUUUGUUUAUACAAUCAUAAAGUGAAUACGAACCAGAGAUCUCUAUUAAAUAAUGUAACCUAAAUAUUUUCAUUAAGUACAUCCCCAAUUAUAUAAAUCAAUCAAACAUGUAAUGAGUAAAAAACAUUCACAUUAAAUAGUUUAGAAAGAUAUGUAUUGAAUAUCAAAAUUAAUUAAAUAUAUACUUAUAUCCUUAAGUACAUAGAAUGUCAUCUUCUAUAUUCUGAUAAUUAAACAAUUAACAUAAGUUAUACAGAUUAAAAAAUAUCCUAAAAUACUAAUUAUAAGUAGAAAAUGAAAACCAAAAAAGAAAAGAGAAUAAUUACAAGAAUAUGAAAAAGAAAAAAAGAAAAUAGAAUAAUUACAAGACAAUGAAAAUGAGACCGUAUGUAUUAAAGGAAACCAACCCAAACAUUUUUCUAGUGUUACAUUAGCAACAACUUUAUUAUUGUGAGAUCCUCAUAAUCCUAACAAACAUCUCAAUCUCAUCAAAACAAUACGAAAAACACUAUCAUAAUCAUUGGUGAUGCAAGAAUAAAAUUGAAAAUAAGAGGAAACACAGAUGAAUAGAGUGACAAAAUAAGCAAGUUAGAGAUGUGUAACCUUCAAAAGAUUAACCUAUAUCAGAAAUCAAUUGUUCNNN